RNAcentral lists this ribosomal RNA (322 nucleotides) under uncultured eukaryote. Its description in RNAcentral is "partial 18S ribosomal RNA". It matches the Rfam family "Eukaryotic small subunit ribosomal RNA", at positions 1470 to 1796 of the family's 1831-position model. The record is from RNAcentral.
CCCUUAGAUGUUCUGGGCCGCACGCGUGCCACACUGAGUGGAUCAGCGGGUCAGGUUGCGCGAAAGUGUUUCCUAAUCUUGAAAUCCGCUCGUGAUGGGGAUUGACGGUUGCAAUUUUCCGUCAUGAACGAGGAAUACCUUGUAAGCGCGGGUCAUCAUCCCGCGCUGAAUACGUCCCUGCCCUUUGUACACACCGCCCGUCGCUCCUACCGAUUGAGUGGUCCGGUGAGGCUUUGGGAUCUGAGCAAAAAGAGCGUUUCGCUCGUUUGGCUCGGAAAACUCAGUCGAACCUUAUCAUUUAGAGGAAGGAGAAGUCGUAACA